UCUCUCUCUCUCUCUCUCUCUCUCUCUCUUCAGCAGUGGGUUUGAGCAGGAUGUGGAGUUUGGGGAUACGGGGCGUCUCGGUGACUGUCAUGAGUUUUUGGCUACAGCUUCAGCACCAGGUUUCAAAUCAUAUGGCGACGCAACUUCUGGUUAGUUUCCUUUUUACUCAAACGAUUUCCUUUCCUUCGGUUCAGCGUUUCUCUUUCACCAUCUUCAUCACCAUCAGUCUUCAUCACCAUCAGUCUUCAUCACUAUCAGUCUUCAUCAUCAAGAUUAAUCCGUCUCUAAACAAUCGUUUUCAUCUUCGUCUCGUCUGCAUGUUUACAGUAGACAUGUGCUGAAAAUCUCUUGUUCACUCUCAUGUUAUUAUCACACACACACACAUACACACACGUUAUAACGUUAAAUUAUUGUGUUUGUGACUCAGUAUCAGCAGAUUAAUAUUAAUGAGCGUUAUGAAGGAGGUAAAUGAACACUCGGUUUGUUGUAGGUUUCAGGUGUUUGCUUCUGAUGAUUUAUUAUCAUUCAGGUUUCAGGUGUUCGGUGGUGAUGAGUCAUUAUCAUUCAGGUUUCAGGUGUUUGGUGGUGAUGAGUCAUUAUCAUUCAGGUUUCAGGUGUUUGGUGGUGAUGAGUCAUUAUCAUUCAGCGUUCACCUCGACACUGAACACCGCUACAGGAAGUGAAGAGAGGCUUUUUCUCACCGCACUGUUCUUGGUGUUCAGUAUAAAUGUGCUGGUAGUUAAUUAGAUGUGUUGGUGAGUGUGAUGUUGAGAAGUUUAUACUAAUCACUGUAUGGAAGUUUUAUAUCAGCACUUGUCUAAUGAACAGAUGAGUGUUUCUCAUGUUUCUCAUGUUUCUCAUGUUUCUCAUGUUUCAGCCUGAAAUUUUACCACAAUAUCAUUCCUUCAUUUUUCACUAACACAGUGUCACACUCAUUUAUUCAUUCAUUCACUCAUUUAUUUAUUUAUUUACUUAUUUAUUUAUUUUUGCUUAGUUUUUCAAUCAGAAUGUUUUUUAUUGUUGAUGAAGUUUGGAGUUUACAGUUUGGGGUGAAGCAGAAAAUACAGGACGCGGUCAAACGCUGAUGCACUAACGCUUCUGUACGUUCACGUUUAUAUACGCGUACGCAAGACUGAGUGUGUAUCCUCACUGUACAGUCUACAGCAACGCUCUACACAACAACACUACACAACACGCUCUACACAACAACACUACACAACAACACUACACAACAACGCUCUACACAACAACACUAUACAACAACACUACACAACACGCUCUACACAACAACACUAUACAACAACACUACACAACAACACUACACAACACGCUCUACACAACAACACUAUACAACAACACUACACAACAACACUACACAACACGCUCUACACAACAACACUACACAACACGCUCUACACAACACUAUACAACAACACUACACAACAACACUACACAACACGCUCUACACAACAACACUACACAACACGCUCUACACAACACUACACAACAACACUACACAACACGCUCUACACAACAACAACACUACACAAACAAACACUACACAACAACGCUCUACACAACAACACUACACAACAACACUACACAACACGCUCUACACAACAACACUACACAACAACACUACACAACAACACUACACAACACGCUCUACACAACAACACUACACAACAACGCUCUACACAACAACACUACACAACAACACUACACAACACGCUCUACACAACAAACACUACACAACAACACUACACAACAACACUACACAACACGCUCUACACAACAACACUACACAACAACACUACACAACAACGCUCUACACAACAACACUACACAACACGCUCUACACAACAACACUACACAACACGCUCUACACAACAACACUACACACCACGCUCUACACAACAACACGCUCUACACAACAACACUACACACCACGCUCUACACAACACGCUCUACACAACAACACUACACAACACACUCUACACAACAACACUACACAACACGCUCUACACAACACGCUCUACACAACAACACUACACAACACGCUCUACACAACAACACUACACAACAACGCUCUACACAACACGCUCUACACAACAACACUACACAACACACUCUACACAACAACACUACACAACAACGCUACACAACACGCUCUACACAACAACACUACACAACAACACUACACAACACGCUCUACACAACACGCUCUACACAACAACACUACACAACACGCUCUACACAACAACACUACACAACAACGCUCUACACAACACGCUCUACACAACAACACUACACAACAACACUACACAACACUACACAACAACACUACAGAACAACGCGCUACACAACACUACACAACAACACUCUACACAACACGCUCUACACAACACUACACAACAAUUCUCUACACAACAACACUACACAACAACACUCUACACAACACGCUCUACACAACACUACACAACAAUUCUCUACACAACAACACUACACAACACUACAGAACAAUGCUCUACACAACAACACUCUACACAACACGCUCUACACAACAAUUCUCCCACACAACAACACUACACAACAACGCUCUACACAACACACUCUACACAACACUACAGAACAAUGCUCUACACAACAACGCUCUACACAACAGCUCUACACAACAAAACAAUGCUCUACACAACAAGACUCUACACAACACUACACAAUAACGCUCUACACAACAACACUAAACAACACUACAGAACACUAAACAACACUACAACGCUACACAACAACACUCUACACAACGCUCUACACAACAACACAACAACGCUCUACACAACAACACUCCACACAACACUCUACACAACAACACCGCACAACACUACACAAUAACGCUUUACACAACAAUGCUCAAACACACGGGUCAGAAGGUUCUCUAUAACAGCGGCUCUGACAGUAGCGCAGGUUUAUAUUAAUGCUCUCAUUCUGAUACGUUAUGGUUUCUAUAGUAACGGCUCGUUCACAGGGACGUGUACAGCGCACGCUCCACAUAAACUAAUUGUACAUGUGUGUGAUCAUUUAUGUAACAGUUAUGGAAGGAGUCUCCAGUGUCCAGAGGUAAAGCUUUAACUUUAUGUUGUCCCACAGAGAGGAUAAAGAGAGAAAAGAGAGAGAAUAGAGUGAGAGGAUAAAGAGAGAAAAGAGAGAGGGAAUAUAGAGAGAAUAGAAAGAGAAUAAAGAGAGGGAAUAAAGAGAGAGAGAAUAAAGAGAGAGAAUAAAGAGAGAGAAUAAAGAGAGAGAGAAUAAAAGAGAGGGAAUAGAGAGAGAGAAUAGAGAGAGAGAAUAAAGAGAGAGAGAAUAAAGAGAGGGAAUAGAGAGAGGGAAUAAAGAGAGAGAAUAGAGAGAGGGAAUAGAGAGAGGGAAUAAAGAGAGAGAGAAUAAAAGAGAGGGAAUAGAGAGAGAGAAUAGAGAGAGGGAAUAGAGAGAGAGAAUAGAGAGAGGGAAUAGAGAGAGAAUAGAGAGAGGAAUAGAGAGAGGGAAUAGAGAGAGGGAAUAAAGAGAGGGAAUAGAGAGAGAGAAUAGAGAGAGAGAAUAGAGAGAGAGAAUAGAGAGAGGGAAUAGAGAGAGAGAAUAGAGAGAGGGAAUAGAGAGAGGGAAUAGAGAGGGAAUAAAGAGAGAGAAUAAAGAGAGAGAAUAAAGAGAGGGAAUAGAGAGAGAGAAUAGAGAGAGGGAAUAAAGAGAGGGAAUAGAGAGAGAGAAUAGAGAGAGAGAAUAGAGAGCGAGAAUAGAGAGCGAGAAUAGAGAGAGGGAAUAGAGAGAGAGAAUAAAGAGAGAGAAUAAAGAGAGGGAAUAGAGAGAGAGAAUAAAGAGAGGGAAUAGAGAGAGGAAUAGAGAGAGGGAAUAGAGAGAGAGAAUAGAGAGAGGGAAUAAAGAGAGAGAAUAAAGAGAGCGAUGGUGAGGGAACGAGUGUUUACAGCUGCUAUAACAUAAGUGAGAACAGGAACUCACUUGUUUCAUGAACAUUAACUGUAACUGUAAAUGGAUAAAAGUGUGAUGUGUUCUGUAAUAAAUGAAGGUGUGAUGGGGUGAGUUGCUGUGGUGUGAGGGGAAUAAUCCCUUGGGGGACGUGCUGUUAGAGGAAAGUAAUCAUGGUCAGGAAGGUAAAGUGUAUUAAAUAUAAUGGUGAUGUUUGUGUGCGGUUCGUAUAAAACUGUGAAGUUCUGCAUCAGUGUUUGACUUCGUGUCCCGUCCUGUAGUGCUGUACACAGGACCUUACACUUUCUAGAAGGUUCCGGACUCUGUGGAACCCUGGAGUAACUGUGUGCAUGAUGUGUUUACUGCAGCAGAACAGAACCCGGUGCUGUCAGUCACGCCGUCCUCCGCAUCAGAACCUCCCCCUCCCCCACACACUCCUCCCUCUCUUCCUCCUCAACUCCUCGACACGCGGAAAUCCGUUCUCCGUGACAGUUCGGAAUCUUCCAGAUCAUUUGAAUCGGUGAUGGAGGGUAAGGCCUUGACGGGAGCAAGGGAUUCUGGGUAAUGCUGCUGCUAGCGAUCAUCUUUCUGAAGCUAGCUGUUCAAAUACAAACCAUGGACGCACACACACACACAUGCACACACACACACACAUGCAUGCACACACGCACACACACGCACACACACGUGCACACACAUGCACACACACACACGUACACACGCACGCACACACACACGUACGCACACACGUACACACGCGCACACACACACACAGAUAUGUUUAGUAAAGCAGAUUGAAACUCAUUCCAUUUGAUUGCUUUGUAUUUUAACAGCUAGCUUAAUCUUUAAGCUGUUAGCUUAGCGAGGUGACGUUAGCAGCAGCGCUCAGAUCCCCACAGCUUACAUGUCAGUUUAUUUUCUUCAUUUGUUCUUUCAGUUUUUUUCCUUCAGUCGAGCGACAUGUCAUCUUUCUGUUCUCUUUCAUCUCUGCUGUUCAUCAGUUCCUUUCCUCUUUAGUUCUUCAUUCUGUUUCUCCUUCUCUCGGGUUUCCUGAAAGUCUUCCAAAGGCCUUACACAGUCCAGCACUGUCUCUGCUUGAGUCACUGACACACACUCUCACACAUUUCUCUCGUGGACACUAACACACUCUCACACGUUUCUCUCGUGGACACUAACACACUCUGAAGACACGCCUCCUCUUCUCGGUAUGAUCAGGUAUCUGGGGAUAAACGCUAACAAACUUUACUCUUAAAGCUUUUAACGGCUGAGUGGGCGACGUCUCCUUCACUAACAUAAUCCUGUUACGUGACCUGUUAGCUUCCGGCUAAUCCAAUUCUCUCAUCUGCUCUGGAUGCACUUCUGCUCCAUGGGGCUGGAUUACCUUCACAUGUCUUCAUGAGUAUAAAGUUGAAAUAAAUCUCAGGAAGUGAGCAAAUGCCUCUGGGGGGAGGUGGAGGAGGUGGUGGAGGAAGUGGUGGAGCU
Long non-coding RNA from Ictalurus punctatus (channel catfish), 5454 nucleotides. NCBI's taxonomy places the organism in Eukaryota, Metazoa, Chordata, Actinopteri, Siluriformes, Ictaluridae. The record is from Ensembl.